Molecule: ribosomal RNA, 433 nt
Filed under: uncultured bacterium
Lineage: Bacteria
Description: partial 16S ribosomal RNA
Rfam family: Bacterial small subunit ribosomal RNA
Source: RNAcentral
UGAACGCUGGCGGUAUGCUUAACACAUGCAAGUCGAACGGACUCUUCGGAGUUAGUGGCGGCCGGGUGAGUAACGCGUGAGAAUCUGGCUUUGGGUUCGGGACAACCACUGGAAACGGUGGCUAAUACCGGAUGUGCCGAGAGGUAAAAGAGAAAUUGCCUGAAGAUGAGCUCGCGUCUGAUUAGCUAGUUGGUGAGGUAAAGGCUCACCAAGGCAGCGAUCAGUAGCUGGUCUGAGAGGAUGACCAGCCACACUGGGACUGAGACACGGCCCAGACUCCUACGGGAGGCAGCAGUGGGGAAUUUUCCGCAAUGGGCGAAAGCCUGACGGAGCAAUACCGCGUGAGGGAAGAAGGCUCUUGGGUUGUAAACCUCUUUUCUUAGGGAAGAACAAAAUGACGGUACCUAAGGAAUCAGCAUCGGCUAACUCCGUG